GGAGUUAGCCGGUGCUUCUUCUGUGAGUGAUGUCCUUCCUGCCGGUUAUUGACCCGCAGGCCUUCUUCCUCACUGAAAGUGCUUUACAACCCGAAGGCCUUCUUCACACACGCGGCAUGGCUGGAUCAGGGUUGCCCCCAUUGUCCAAUAUUCCCCACUGCUGCCUCCCGUAGGAGUCUGGGCCGUGUCUCAGUCCCAGUGUGGCUGAUCAUCCUCUCAGACCAGCUACGGAUCGUCGCCUUGGUGAGCAGUUACCUCACCAACCAGCUAAUCCGACAUAGGCUCAUCCGAUAGCGCGAGGCCCGAAGGUCCCCCGCUUUCCCCCGUAGGGCGUAUGCGGUAUUAGCCUGGGUUUCCCCAGGUUAUCCCCCACUACCGGGCAGAUUCCUAUGCAUUACUCACCCGUCCGCCGCUCGCCACCAGGGAGCAAGCUCCCCGUGCUGCCGCUCGACUUGCAUGUGUUAGGCCUGCCGCCAGCGUUCAAUCUGAGCCAUGAUCAAACUCUGA
RNAcentral lists this ribosomal RNA (507 nucleotides) under uncultured bacterium. RNAcentral's name for it is "partial 16S ribosomal RNA". The record is from RNAcentral.